This 466-nucleotide ribosomal RNA is filed under the name uncultured bacterium. RNAcentral's name for it is "bacterial SSU rRNA". It matches the Rfam family "Bacterial small subunit ribosomal RNA", at positions 330 to 792 of the family's 1533-position model. The record is from RNAcentral.
UCCAGACUCCUACGGGAGGCAGCAGUGAGGAAUAUUGGUCAAUGGACGAGAGUCUGAACCAGCCAAGUAGCGUGAAGGAUGACUGCCCUAUGGGUUGUAAACUUCUUUUAUAUGGGAAUAAAACAGGGUAUGCAUACCCUCUUGUAUGUACCAUAUGAAUAAGGAUCGGCUAACUCCGUGCCAGCAGCCGCGGUAAUACGGGGGAUGCAAGCGUUAUCCGGAUUUAUUGGGUUUAAAGGGUGCGUAGGCUGUGAGGUAAGUCAGCGGUGAAAUGCCCCCGCUCAACGGGGUGAAGUGCCAUUGAUACUGCCUUGCUGGAAUGCGGAUGCCGUGGGAGGAAUGUGUGGUGUAGCGGUGAAAUGCAUAGAUAUCACGCAGAACUCCGAUUGCGAAGGCAGCAUACCGGCGCCCAACUGACGCUGAAGCACGAAAGCGUGGGUAUCGAACAGGAUUAGAUACCCGUGUA